UGAAGAGCAUAUAGUUGCAUCUACCUUUCUUUAUUCGUAUACAGCUGCUCGUUUCACUCAUCCUAUUGGAUCACUGUCUCUUUGGGACUUCAUGGUCAGCUCCUUAAAUAUGCUCUUAUCAGUGUUCUAGAUUCCUUGGCUUAAAAUCUCUUUACAGUCCAAUCCAUUUCUCUCUCAUCCUUGUAGUUCUUGUUUCUUCAUUCUGUUUUUAAUGUUUUGGUAAAAACCCCCAAGGGAAAGCAGUUAUUGCUUUGUUCAGAAAAGUUCUGAAUAAUGUAAGCUCUGCUUAAAUGUGUGCUAUGACCAAACAAGGAACAUAAGGAAUUUGUAAAAGGAGUAACUCAGGGACCCUUAGACCCAAAUCUUCCCUUUAGUGUUUUAUGUAAUUUCAUGAACUUUUGAAAAACACCAAAUUUUGUUACAAGUUGAAACAUGUAUUACAAAAUCAUAGACUCAGUGGUUUUAAAGAGACUUUAGAUUCAUUUAGUUUUAGUCCAGUUAUAUCUAUUCAGUGUCACUUGAUUUCUGAGUGUUCUCUACUGCCCAUAUAUAUGAGACGGUUUUCUAUACAGUGAACUGAAACCUACAGUUUUCACGCACUGGCUGCUGUUCUCAGCACUGUUUGUGGAAUGAUAGCUGACAUGUGUGAAGACAGCCACCCUAAGCCCUCCUAAGUAGUUUUUCUCCAGGAAGAAUAGACCUUGUUCCUCUGUAUCCUGGCCUGAAGUUCUUUUGUCAUCCUAUAUGAAUAUAUAAAAUGUUGAGUUUUUUGGAAUGUUUUGGAUUAUUUACCACUAUGUCCCCUUCUCUAUUAGUAUAAGUAAUAACAAUGAGGUUAUAUAAAGCAAGUUAAUAGGUUUUUAUGGCAAAUGAAAAAUAUAUAAGAUAAAUUAGUUGAAGGAACCUAUGAGAUGCUAUUUGGGAUUUACCUCAUAGAUCAGAAAAAGCUAUUUAUCCUUUUGUGUGUGUGUGUGUGUGUGUGUGUGUGUAUCAAAUAGGGAGCAGGGAAAGAGGACAGUGGGAUGAUAGAAACUAAUAUGGGUGAUGAUUUAUUUGCUCUAUGGCACUUCCUUCACUUUAUUACACCAUUUGUAUGUUACUGUCUUUCAGUUACCAUUACUAUCAUUGAUUAGCUGCUCAUUUCAUAAAUAUAGCAAAUUCAAUAUUUUGUCACCCUCCACAUGAGAAUUGUUAUUGUUUAACUGUAAAAAAGUG
This 1215-nucleotide long non-coding RNA is filed under the name Marmota monax (woodchuck). Lineage: Eukaryota; Metazoa; Chordata; Mammalia; Rodentia; Sciuridae. The record is from RNAcentral.